Molecule: long non-coding RNA, 3310 nt
Organism: Gasterosteus aculeatus aculeatus (three-spined stickleback)
Lineage: Eukaryota; Metazoa; Chordata; Actinopteri; Perciformes; Gasterosteidae
Source: Ensembl
CCUUUACAGAAAUACAAAAACAGACUUUCUCUUAUUUAAAAUAAAAAUAAAAAAUAGAAGUCAAUAUUUUGAUUCCUUAAUCAAAGUUCCCUAAUUUAAACUAAAACUCCUUCCCUUUCAACAAGGUACUUGAAAAUCCGAAAUUGCAAUUCAAUCAAACCCCGAUCUUGACAAGUAAAUAAGCAGGUGGCAACCCAAGGGAUUUAUGAUGAGUACGUAUUUGACAUUCUGGAUUCAUGGAAUGAAGAUCUCAAUUAUUAUAGUGAAUAAACACUGAGGAGACUGACUCUGCCUAAUUAAGGAGUCUGUUGGAGAAAAAAACUAAAAUUGACAUCCUCAGUGUUUUGUCUCUCUCAGUAGAGUCUAAUCAACAUAAACUGCUCAAACGCAAGUAAACAGCUGCAAGAAUAUUACAGCAGUUGAUUCAAAACUAACGAGGGAACAUUCCUGAAUGGAAAUGUGUACAAUUUGAACUUUGAAUUAGUUGUUGGACUCUGUUGACACACAGUAAGAGGCGAGACAGGGACUAAUGACUGCAUGGGAAUGACGGUACAUUGCAGAGUAAAGCUCAAGUAAGCAGAAGGAGAACAGCACAACAGAGAGCCUGAGACAGACAGCCAGAAUGAAAGAUGUAAAGUUGAUUUCUGUGCAGGAGGACUGAUUUAUACUUCUUAACCUUAGCGUUAACUACAGAAGGGUUGCCUGUGUGUGACCGGCUCAGGUUUUUCAACAUGAUUUUCAUAGUGAUUUUUCGUUUCAGUUGCCAAGAGGUUCUCAAGUGGCCAAGGACCAUGUGUGCACGUUGAUACUUGGAGAGCUACGGCACCUUCACGCUAGAUAUGCCACAUGAAACGAUGGUAUAUUUUGGGUCUCAAGUACAUUUUCUUUUUAAUCACCUCAAAACUACACUAAACUAAGAAUGAUAUCAAAAGAAAGUAGUCCUGCGUCAUUGGAUUUCUGUCACACCUCAUCUAUCCACGUGAGAAGAGACAGUUUGUUGCGGCGGUAUGAAGACCAAUGAAUAUUCAUGCUGUUUUUUCAUAAGGAUACAUCUUACACAGGAGUUUGAAAGUGGAUUUUAGCAGGAGAUUAUAUCUUGAAACCGACCCGUUUCAGGGCCGGGAGUUAGCGCUGUAAACUCACGGCUAAAUCUCAAAGGACAGAGAGAUAAUUCAUUUCAGAUGACCUGUUUGGUUUACAUCUGUGCGCAGACGACAGGGCUGUACUUUAGGGGAGGGUUGGAAGACACCGAUUGAAACCCCCCCGGGGAAUACACAUCUGUAUGACACUGCCUGCAUCAAUUUGACUGAGAAAUAUACCUCAAUGGUAUGAGUCAUGGGCCAACAGACAUUCAUGCACUCGGUUGGAGAUAUACCCCACACCCACACACACACACACACACACACACACACACACACACACACACACACACACACACACACACACACACACACACACGACCUACAAUAAAAUAAUAUGCAUCAAUAUGACUGUCUACACCCACACAAACGCACACAAAGCUCAACACCCAUAGCACACAAGCUCGCCCUUGCUUACAUACAACUCCAUGUAGUCACACACAGAUACACUUGCGCAUAGGAGGCAGACUGUGAAGCCCCACAGGAAUAAAGCUACAGGCCAAAUGUGUUUAGCGACUCCUUUUACGCAGACGCCUUUCCACGUCAUAUGGCGGCUAAUGCGGUCUAAUUAAGACCGUGCGGCACAGACACAUUUUGAGGGCUGACACACAACUAGAGGGCAAAAUGUCCCUUUGCUCAGAGCGCAGAGAGAUGAUGAGGGGACUCGGGGAAAUGGAUGCAGAGCAGCUAGGAAUAUGUUGUCGAUGCAAAUCAGCAGUGAAAGUAGGCAUAAGUGUGCAGGAGAGAGCACAGUAUGUGAAGUGGCUGCUCCACAUAGAGGAGUUAAAUGCAGUCUAGCCAAGCGCUCUUUGCUUUGUAUGAAGCCAAUAACACAGCGCUGUCGUCUUGCUGCUCAGCAGACUUGGUUUCUGACUUUAUUUAUCCGAUCAACCAAAACUUAAUUGUAUAUUUUGCUUGUUGCAUUAGCCGAUGUGAAGAUUCUACACUGAAGAUUACAUUACUCAGCUGAAAACCGACACGGUGAAAACCUAUCUUUGAGUUGAGUGUAGCCCACUUGAGGGCUUUAGCCUCAGAUUGCGAAGCAUACCACUCUCCUUUUCAAAUUAUUCAUGAAGAAUAUAACGCAGUGCUGUUUGAGGUUAUGCAAGUGCACACAAUAAACCUGGGUGAUACUGCUCCAAUCUCUCCUUCAUACACAAAAGCCUCUCGUCGGUGCUGGCAACACGUUGAGGAUACCCGUCGAGGUAUUCGUGACCUUCUUUGUCAUCUAGAUGGGAGUACCAGACCGAUCGUAGGGUUUAUUUUAAAACAUGCGUCACAGUGUUUCAGAGAGGUAGCUCCAGAACAUCUAAACUGCCUCUUCAUAUUUCCCCUUAAAGCCUGUCCUCCGCUCCUGCCUGAGUGGAGAACCUUAGAUUAGAUCUAAAAAAUGAAUUCAUAUUUUUGAAAUACACAGCAACUGGCUUCCUAAACACCUCAAAUAAACUGCUUUGUUGAAUUUAUGAAGGUAUUGUGUAGAGAUACACUACAGUCAUACCUGCAUCCAUGUUAUUCCUAAAUUAAAACCAGAUGAGAAAGAGCCCAAAUAAAGUUUGCAUGAAUCACACAGCUGGCGGAUAUUUGAUGAACCUUUCAACCAAUACACCUUUACUCUUACUGUGGUGGCUAAAGUUCCCUUCUUACGUUCGGCAGUUGCUUCUUCCAGUUCCUCAUUCAUUUAACCACUCCAAAACGGAAAGAACAAGUCUACGCGUGUUUAAUGUGUUGAACAACGGUAGAAAACAGUGUGUUCCGUUCGCUUUACUGAAAGAUCUGCCCAGUCACAAUUACACAGCGUUUUCUCGCUUCGUCAAAGCACGGGUGCCUUACGUCAUAAGUCAGUGCGCUUACUCCCGUCACUCCUGUAUCAAGCAAAACACGUACACUAAACAUGUAUUAACUAACAUGCAAAUUACAGGUACAAUUAUGUAAUCAUAGCGUAAUCAUACUUAUGAUAUGAUAAAUCAUCAUCAAACAUGAAUCAAAACAAUAUCAAUCUAAAUCUAAAUUACGACAUGGAAAAUGGCACUAACACUUACUCUGCAGCUAUUAGCUCAUCUGCUACAUCCCCAUCCCAAUCCCUCCUCACCUGCAGCUCUUUGCCCUCAUUUCAAAGAGGGAAAGAGCGCUCAUGUGCCGAGCAGCAUUUCCUUGAAUUAACAGCAGGAUUU